This 440-nucleotide ribosomal RNA is filed under the name uncultured bacterium. RNAcentral's name for it is "partial 16S ribosomal RNA". It matches the Rfam family "Bacterial small subunit ribosomal RNA", at positions 338 to 795 of the family's 1533-position model. The record is from RNAcentral.
CCUACGGGUGGCAGCAGUGGGGAAUAUUGCACAAUGGGGGAAACCCUGAUGCAGCGACGCCGCGUGAGUGAAGAAGGAAUUCGUUAUGUAAAGCUCUAUUAGCAGGGAAGAAUAUGAAGGUAACUUAGUAAGAAGCCCCCGCUAACUACGUGCCAGAAGCCGCGGUAAUAAGUAGGGGGGCAGCGGUAUCCGGAUUUACUGGGUGGAAAGGGAGCGUAGGCGGCGGUGCAAGUCUGGAGUGAAAGGCGGGGGCUGAACCUCGGGACUGCCCUUGAAACUGUACGUCUGGAGUGCAGGAGAGGUAAGUGGAAUUCCUAGUGUAGCGGUGAAAUGCGUAGAUAUUAGGAGGAACACCAGUGGCGAAGGCGGCUUACUGGACUGUAACUGACGUUGAGGCUCGAAAGCGUGGGGAGCAAACAGGAUUAGAUACCCUAGUAGUC